Molecule: ribosomal RNA, 303 nt
Filed under: uncultured bacterium
Lineage: Bacteria
Description: partial 16S ribosomal RNA
Rfam family: Bacterial small subunit ribosomal RNA
Source: RNAcentral
AGCAGUCGCCGCGGGAAUACGGAGGGUGCAAGCGUUAUCCGGAUUUAUUGGGUUUAAAGGGUCCGUAGGCGGAUCUGUAAGUCAGUGGUGAAAUCUCACAGCUUAACUGUGAAACUGCCAUUGAUACUGCAGGUCUUGAGUAAAUUUGAAGUGGCUGGAAUAAGUAGUGUAGCGGUGAAAUGCAUAGAUAUUACUUAGAACACCAAUUGCGAAGGCAGGUCACUAAGAUUUAACUGACGCUGAUGGACGAAAGCGUGGGGAGCGAACAGGAUUAGAGACCCGAGUAGUCCCUGUCUCUUAUAC